AUGGGGCUCUGGGUGGAACAUGGUCUCAGGUGUCUGACCUUGUCAACAUCCAAUGUGAAGUCAGAAGAGGACAAGAAAAGAUCUGAGCAUUCGUCCUGCUGUGACAUGAUGAGGUCACUUUCUUACCAAAUUAACCAUCUGUUUAUGGAGCUUGGGAAAUCAAUGCUGCUUACAUCUCGCCGUGAGAACAGUCCUAUAAAUCUAUCUCCAUCUGUUGCGUCUGUUGCUAACAAUAUUGCUUGUAUCGUGUUGGAGCUCCUCAAUUUUAAGGGUCAUAACAAUCAGUCCAGAGAGGGAGAUUACUGUUGCUACAAAGUGCUGAUACCUUGGAAUGGUUGUUGA
This 342-nucleotide ribosomal RNA is filed under the name Triticum aestivum (bread wheat). RNAcentral describes it as "partial small subunit ribosomal RNA". Lineage: Eukaryota; Viridiplantae; Streptophyta; Magnoliopsida; Poales; Poaceae. The record is from RNAcentral.